UACGUAGGAGACGAGCGUUGUCCGGAAUCACUGGGCGUAAAGCGCGUGUAGGCGGAUCGGCAAGUCUGCUGUGAAAGCUCCUGGCUUAACCGGGAGUGGUCGGUGGAAACUGCCAGUCUGGAGGACGGUAGAGGUAGGUAGAAUUCCCGGUGUAGUGGUGAAAUGCGUAGAGAUCGGGAGGAAUACCUGUGGCGAAGGCGGCCCUACUGGGCCGGACCUGACGCUGAGACGCGAAGGCGUGGGGAGCGAACGGG
Molecule: ribosomal RNA, 254 nt
Filed under: uncultured bacterium
Lineage: Bacteria
Description: partial 16S ribosomal RNA
Rfam family: Bacterial small subunit ribosomal RNA
Source: RNAcentral